AAAGGGAGGCGAAGCCGCGAGGCAGAGNGACCCCAAAAAGCCGUCCCAGUUCGGAUCGCAGGCUGCAACCCGCCUGCGUGAAGUCGGAAUCGCUAGUAAUCGCGGAUCAGCAUGCCGCGGUGAAUACGUUCCCGGGCCUUGUACACACCGCCCGUCACACCAUGAGAGUCGGGAACACCCGAAGCCCGUAGCCUAACAGCAAUGAGGGCGCGGUCGAAGGUGGGUUCGAUAAUUGGGGUGAAGUCGUAACAAGGUACC
Molecule: ribosomal RNA, 258 nt
Filed under: uncultured bacterium
Lineage: Bacteria
Description: partial 16S ribosomal RNA
Rfam family: Bacterial small subunit ribosomal RNA
Source: RNAcentral